Helianthus annuus (common sunflower) is the source of this 1961-nucleotide RNA transcript. It is a transcript of the gene named probable plastidic glucose transporter 3, with no coding region annotated. The transcript has 7 exons. The record is from RefSeq and is a predicted model, not a curated record. NCBI's taxonomy places the organism in Eukaryota, Viridiplantae, Streptophyta, Magnoliopsida, Asterales, Asteraceae.
CUAGAAAUGUAAUUUGACCUACACUUUUUCAGACGGCAGACGAAGCAACAGAAGUUCUUACCAUAAUCUUCACCUGUUUCUCCCAAAUUUGCCCCCAAUUCAUUCUCAGUCGCCAAAGAGUCCGAGCAAUUAUUAUAUGUACAAUAAUCAAUCAGCUGCAUAAUGAAUUGGAGUAUACGAAUCAUCAAACAGUUUGUGAAAUUCAUCAUGAUGAGAGUAUACGAACCGCUAAGGUAAUCAAUUGUAUUGAAUUGCACCAGCAAUCGUUCCCUUCUCCUCUCCAACAAAACCAUCCCCAUCAUGAAGAUAACUCACGAUGUUCAGAUCUAGGGUUCCGGCUCUUCCUUGUCUUCUCCGAACUCAGGUUUCUUAAAGCACCUCCAACUCUCAUUCACUAACCCUAAUUUUAAUCCCAUCAUCAGCUUUCAGAAAUUUCAAGAGAUUUGGUGAUGCUUUUCCUCUUCAGGUCUCGAAUUGCAACCCUGUAAUGACAAAUUACAGGAGAACGAUUGGAUGUACUGAAGAUAUUAAUAAUUGAUGAAGUGAUAUCUUGUGCGGGGAUUCAAUGAGAAUUUAGGGAUGUUUGGAUUUCGAUUUUCAACUCUUGUUAUGCUGUUUAUAAUGCAAUGCCCAAAGCAAAUAGGGAUGAAGUCUAAAUUAUGCAGGUUUUUUUUAAUUAUCAACUGAUUUCUUAUGUUGAUGUUUUGUAUAAUGAUUUAAAUUAAGAGAAAAACAAUAAACCUCAGUUCCUUGGAGGUUAUCAGCUUUGAUAUUACAUAAUAUUUUUCUACUUUAUUAUUUUAAUAUUAAUUGGGUGUCAUCAACAUGGAUUGUGUGCUGGUUGAUUCUAAUUGGGAUGCAAUAAGCGCCUCUAAUAGGGCCAUGUUUCUGUUUGGUGCCACAAACUCAUCUCAUAGGUAAUGUAUUUUUGGUCAAAUUUGUUUAUACUGGUGUAUAUAAAGGAAAGAAUGCGAAUUAUAUUGGUGAUAUGGCAGUUGUAUUGCCGAGGAAGUUAGAGUGGUCCGGGUUUGUGAUGAACUCACAGUUGGUAUGGAACACAACUGAAUUUAGGCCGGAUUGGAUCAAAGAUUUGGACGUGGUGGUGGCCGCGGAUGGAGAGGAUGAUAUUGGGAGUCCUCUUUCUUUGGUUAAGGACGCAAUCUCAAUUCGUAUUGUUUUCUGCAUUACUAAUUUCAUUUAUUAUAAAAUGAAGGUUUCAUGGUAAGCUCCCUUUUAGGAGGUGCUUUUGUUGGAUCUUCAGUCAGUGGCUAGAUCGCUUACGGGGUUGGACGUCGAAGAGGAUUCCAAUUGUGUGCCAUACCACUGAUAGUCGGUGCUGUAAUGAGUCCCACAUCAGAUGAUCUUGGGGGUAUGCAUAUUGGAAGGUUUCUUGUUGGAAGUGCAAUGGGGGUUAGCCCUCCUAUCGCAGCUCUGUACAUUAUAGAGUUAGUCUUCACCGGCUUUUGUAAGAGGAACUUACGGAAGCUUCACUCAGAUCGCAACGUGUCUUGGACUUAUUUGUUUUUUCUUCAUCGGGAUCCCAGCAAAGGAUGUUACGCGUUGGUGGUGGGUCUGCUUCUGGGUAUCUACCGUUCCGGCAGCCUUGCUUGCUCUUCUAAUGGAGUUCUGUGCAGAAAGUCCCCAUUGGCUUUUUAAGAGAGGAAGAAGUGCAGAAGCUGAAGCAAAGUUUGCAAAGCUCCUCGGAAGCUUACAUGUCAAGUCUGCAAUGGCAGAAUUGUCCAAGUCAGACAGAGGGGAUGAAGUAGACGGAGUAAAGCUUUUAGAGUUGUUCUACGGAUGCCAUUUCAAAGGUGUGUGUGUAUAUAUAUCACCAUAUUCACUAUACCUUUUUCCCAAUUAAAGUACAUGUUUUUUAAAUUUCAAGUUGAUGCUUUGCUUUCAUAUAUGUAUAGUUAAAGACGAAUCUUUUAAAUUUCAAGUUGAUGAUUUGCUUUCUUAUA